Long non-coding RNA from Mauremys reevesii (Reeves's turtle), 819 nucleotides. RefSeq lists it as uncharacterized. NCBI's taxonomy places the organism in Eukaryota, Metazoa, Chordata, Testudines, Geoemydidae. The record is from RefSeq and is a predicted model, not a curated record. The transcript has 4 exons.
UCCGCUAGCAACCUUAAGCCCUCCAGGCCAUGUAUGGGGUGGACACUCCAUCGCAAACAUUCAGCUCAGACUGUGGGAGUCAUACAACCAUACAGUGCUAAUUUACUAGACAGAUAAGUGUCUCUUACCUGAAAGAAACCUGUUUUUCACCUUUUGGUGAUCAGCUCCAAGUCAGAUUUUAAGAACAUAAUUUUCAGACAGUAUACAUAACUCCUUACAUAUUAUCUAUUCAUACAUUUUUCAGUGACUAUGAGGACCACUGUGAUACAGGCUUUCAGCAGAGACCUUACUUUCUGAACUAGAAUGUAAAUAACACACACACGGGAUUUCCAGCAACCCUAAUGCACCCCUUGCCCUCAAGAAGACUGAGUUACAAUACCUGAGGAUUUUGAAGCAGAUUGUGAAUGGUGUCUGAUCCAGUAGGUGACAUCUGAGCACUUCCAAGGAUCUGGCCCCAAAGGCAAGAUUGACUGACAGAGAUGGCUUCUGCUGAAUGAAUCGAAUCUAGUCUAAUCCUGUAUUUUCAAAGAGACAAUUACUGAUGCAGGAAGAUUCCUAACCUUCAGAAAAGUCCAUUGAAUAACAGUGAGUUCCUAUGAAAAAGAAAAUCCUUUCUGUCAGACAGGAGACAUUUUAAAGGACCAGGAUAUUGUAAGAUACAAUAAUAAGAAAAAAGAGAACUCAAGAUGUAACUUGAGAAAAUGGUGUGUAUGUAUUAUACAAUUAAAUAAUCCACGGGAGAAUACUGAAGGCUGAUAUUAAGGAUUCCACGGAAAAUCAUAAAAGUUUUGGAACAAUUAUUAAUUUUACUGGAAAACA